RNAcentral lists this ribosomal RNA (500 nucleotides) under uncultured bacterium. RNAcentral's name for it is "partial 16S ribosomal RNA". It matches the Rfam family "Bacterial small subunit ribosomal RNA", at positions 29 to 523 of the family's 1533-position model. The record is from RNAcentral.
AUUGAACGCUGGCGGCAUGCCUUACACAUGCAAGUCGAACGGUAACGGGUCCUUCGGGAUGCCGACGAGUGGCGAACGGGUGAGUAAUAUCUCGGAACGUGCCCAGUAGUGGGGGAUAACUGCUCGAAAGAGCAGCUACUACCGCAUACGACCGGGGGGGGAAAGGGGGGGAUCCAAAGACCUUUCGAUAUUGGGGGGGCCGAUAUCAGUUUAAUUAGUUGGGGGGGUAAAGGCCUACCAAGGCAACGAUCUGCAGUGGGUCUGAGAGGACGACCAGCGACACUGGGACUGAGACACGGCCCAGACUCAUGCGGGAGGCAGCAGUGGGGAAUUUUGGACAAUGGGCGCAAGCCUGAUCCAGCAAUGCCGCGUGCAGGAAGAAGGCCUUCGGGUUGUAAACUGCUUUUGUCAGGGAAGAAAUCUUCUGGGCUAAUACCCCGGGAGGAUGACGGUACCUGAAGAAUAAGCACCGGCUAACUACGUGCCAGCAGCCGCAGUAA